Molecule: ribosomal RNA, 16 nt
Filed under: Serjania communis
Lineage: Eukaryota; Viridiplantae; Streptophyta; Magnoliopsida; Sapindales; Sapindaceae
Description: partial 26S ribosomal RNA
Source: RNAcentral
AUCGACCGCGACCCCA